GUGGAGCAUGUGGCUUAAUUUGACUCAACGCGGGAAAUCUUACCGGGUCCGGACACACUGAGGAUUGACAGGCAAUAUUAAUAUAGUUUGUGUCUCAUACAAAUUGUGUGGGUCCAAACCUCGAACAUAUUAUGUGAAAAUAUGCUAGUCCUUUCAUGAUUAUGUGAUAGGUGGUGCAUGGCCGUUCUUAGUUCGUGGAGUGAUCUGUCUGCUUAAUUGCGUUUCAUUAUGUGACCUAAUAAAUUUUACGUAUGUUGCUUAUACAGUUUGACCCCUCCUUUUUUGGGUGUGUGCGUCUUACGUUUUGUUAUAUUGCUCAUACAAUUUAGGUCCUGAAAGCAACGAACGUGACCGCAACCUCUUGUUGCUUUCAAGCAAGUGUACCCUACACCUUAUGUCUUACGUAUAUAUUAACACUCACAGUGUAUUCUUAUCUGUGCUGUGUGAUAUUACUUAUACUGCAGGGGUAACGUUACCAUUCAUUACUAAAGAAAGCCUUUUAAACUAGAGGGACCGCUGUUUCUUUCUUAAACCAGAGGAAGGUUGCGGCAAUAACAGGU
This 560-nucleotide ribosomal RNA is filed under the name Foraminiferan sp. R45. RNAcentral describes it as "bacterial SSU rRNA". It matches the Rfam family "Eukaryotic small subunit ribosomal RNA", at positions 1176 to 1461 of the family's 1831-position model. Lineage: Eukaryota; Foraminifera. The record is from RNAcentral.